RNAcentral lists this ribosomal RNA (240 nucleotides) under uncultured bacterium. Its description in RNAcentral is "partial 16S ribosomal RNA". It matches the Rfam family "Bacterial small subunit ribosomal RNA", at positions 524 to 763 of the family's 1533-position model. The record is from RNAcentral.
UACGUAGGUGGCAAGCGUUAUCCGGAUUUAUUGGGUGUAAAGGGCGUGUAGGCGGGAAUGCAAGUCAGAUGUGAAAACUAUGGGCUCAACCCAUAGCCUGCAUUUGAAACUGUAUUUCUUGAGUGCUGGAGAGGCAAUCGGAAUUCCGUGUGUAGCGGUGAAAUGCGUAGAUAUACGGAGGAACACCAGUGGCGAAGGCGGAUUGCUGGACAGUAACUGACGCUGAGGCGCGAAAGCGUG